UCGGGAAUCUUGGACAAUGGGCGCAAGCCUGAUCCAGCCAUGCCGCGUGAGGGAGGAAAUCCUUCGGGAUGUAAACCUCGCAAGCAAGGGAAGACAGCUAGAGAUUUAAUAAAUUUCUAGUCCGACGGUACCUUGCGUAAGCCACGGCUAACUACGUGCCAGCAGCCGCGGUAAUACGUAGGUGGCAAGCGUUGUUCGGAAUUAUUGGGCGUAAAGGGCGCGUAGGCGGUUUGUUAAGUUGGAUGUGAAAUCCCCGGGCUCAACCUGGGAACUGCAUUCAAAACUGACAAGCUAGAGUAUGGUAGAGGGUGGUGGAAUUUCCUGUGUAGCGGUGAAAUGCGUAGAUAUAGGAAGGAACACCAGUGGCGAAGGCGACCACCUGGACUGAUACUGACACUGAGGUGCGAAAGCGUGGGGAGCAAACAGGAUUAGAUACCCCAGUAGUCCCUGAGCGGGCUGGCAAGGCGCAU
Molecule: ribosomal RNA, 470 nt
Filed under: uncultured bacterium
Lineage: Bacteria
Description: bacterial SSU rRNA
Rfam family: Bacterial small subunit ribosomal RNA
Source: RNAcentral